AGUGAACGCUGGCGGUAGGCCUAACACAUGCAAGUCGAACGGCAGCACAGUAAGAGCUUGCUCUUACGGGUGGCGAGUGGCGGACGGGUGAGGAAUACAUCGGAAUCUACUUUUUCGUGGGGGAUAACGUAGGGAAACUUACGCUAAUACCGCAUACGACCUACGGGUGAAAGCAGGGGAUCUUCGGACCUUGCGCGGUUGGAUGAGCCGAUGUCGGAUUAGCUAGUUGGCGGGGUAAAGGCCCACCAAGGCGACGAUCCGUAGCCGGUCUGAGAGGAUGAUCAGCCACACUGGAACUGAGACACGGUCCAGACUCCUACGGGAGGCAGCAGUGGGGAAUAUUGGACAAUGGGCGCAAGCCUGAUCCAGCCAUCCCGCGUGUGUGAAGACGGCCCUCGGGUUGUAAAGCCCUUUUGUUGGGAAAGAAAAGCAGCCGCUUAAUACCCCGCUGUUCUGACGGUACCCAAAGAAUAAGCACCGGCUAACUUCGUG
RNAcentral lists this ribosomal RNA (492 nucleotides) under uncultured bacterium. RNAcentral describes it as "partial 16S ribosomal RNA". It matches the Rfam family "Bacterial small subunit ribosomal RNA", at positions 29 to 507 of the family's 1533-position model. The record is from RNAcentral.